GACCCAAUUCUUCUAAUAAAUCAAGAUGGAAGCGAUUCUGGGCCGUCGGAUCACGAUCUGGGUGAAGCGCUGCCGUUGGAUCGCACUGCAGAGAUGGGAUCAGGUCGGAUGCAUCGCGGACCGUCCGAUCAAGGCGCUGAAAGAUUUCGUCCGUUGGAUCGCGCUGCAGAUGGAUCCCGUGUUGUCCUAGUGUUUAUUGAUUCUUGCAAUUGCCUUGAUUACGGUUGGAUCUUGACCGGCUGCGAUGGUGGCCGUCCGAUGACGCAAAAAUGUGGAGCGUUGGAUCUUGAUCAGAGAAGAUCGGACCAUCGAGUGAUGUGAAGUUACCAGGUUGCCCUUCGGACCUUCUUCUCUCUCCUCAUGAGCUCUGGAC
RNAcentral lists this long non-coding RNA (373 nucleotides) under Elaeis guineensis (African oil palm). Its description in RNAcentral is "long non-coding RNA (EGUI_LNC033676)". The record is from RNAcentral. Lineage: Eukaryota; Viridiplantae; Streptophyta; Magnoliopsida; Arecales; Arecaceae.